ACUCCUACGGGAGGCAGCAGUGGGGAAUAUUGCACAAUGGGCGAAAGCCUGAUGCAGCAACGCCGCGUGAGGGAUGACGGCCUUCGGGUUGUAAACCUCUUUUAGUUGGGAAGAAGGGAGUGACGGUACCAGCAGAAAAAGCACCGGCUAACUACGUGCCAGCAGCCGCGGUAAUACGUAGGGUGCAAGCGUUGUCCGGAAUUAUUGGGCGUAAAGAGCUCGUAGGCGGUUUGUCGCGUCUGCUGUGAAAUCUGGGGGCUCAACCCCCAGCCUGCAGUGGGUACGGGCAGACUAGAGUGCGGUAGGGGAGAUUGGAAUUCCUGGUGUAGCGGUGGAAUGCGCAGAUAUCAGGAGGAACACCGAUGGCGAAGGCAGAUCUCUGGGCCGUAACUGACGCUGAGGAGCGAAAGCAUGGGGAGCGAACAGGAUUAGAUACCCUGGUAGUCCAUGCCGUAAACGUUGGGAACUAGAUGUAGGGGCCAUUCCACGGUUUCUGUGUCGCAGCUAACGCAUUAAGUUCCCCGCCUGGGGAGUACGGCCGCAAGGCUAAAACUCAAAGGAAUUGACGGGGGCCCGCACAAGCGGCGGAGCAUGCGGAUUAAUUCGAUGCAACGCGAAGAACCUUACCAAGGCUUGACAUAUACCGGAAACGUCCAGAGAUGGUCGCCCCGCAAGGUCGGUAUACAGGUGGUGCAUGGUUGUCGUCAGCUCGUGUCGUGAGAUGUUGGGUUAAGUCCCGCAACGAGCGCAACCCUCGUUCUAUGUUGCCAGCACGUUAUGGUGGGAACUCAUAGGAGACUGCCGGGGUCAACUCGGA
RNAcentral lists this ribosomal RNA (817 nucleotides) under uncultured Actinomycetes bacterium. RNAcentral describes it as "bacterial SSU rRNA". It matches the Rfam family "Bacterial small subunit ribosomal RNA", at positions 335 to 1167 of the family's 1533-position model. The record is from RNAcentral. Lineage: Bacteria; Bacillati; Actinomycetota; Actinomycetes.